GCCACGUGGCUGGGCCCCGCCGCCACUCUCCCCCUUUCACCACCGCCUCUCAACAAACCCACUGCGCCAUCUAUCCUCUCCCUCGGAUUUCCCUCCCUCCUCCGUCGUCUCCGACAAUGUCUAACACCGUCGAUCCACUCUCCUCCACUCGUUACUGUAAGGAUGAUGAACACAAACACAUACCAGAUCCUGAGAACUUGGAGGAAAAUACGAAAUCUGGAAUUCUUAGAAAAGCCAAAAAUGUAUCUAGUAAAUUCAGGAAUUCUCUAAGAAACAAGAUCAAACGGAGAAAUGAUUCUGGAGUUUGUAAAGGUGAAGAUAUUCAUGAAAUCCGGGAUCAAAAGGCUGUUGAUGCUUUUCGACAAGCACUGAUGAUGGAUAAUUUACUUCCUUCAAGAUUUGAUGAUUAUCACAUUAUGUUGAGAUUUCUGAAAGCAAGGAAGUUCAACAUCAAUAAGGCAAAGAUCAUGUGGGCAGACAUGCUUGAAUGGAGAAAGAAUUUUGGUGCUGAUACAAUCAUGGAGGACUUUCACUUCAAAGAGUUGAAUGAGGUUCAACAAUAUUAUCCUCAUGGUUACCAUGGUGUUGACAAGGAUGGACGACCUGUAUACAUAGAGAGGUUGGGUAUGAUUGACGUUGAUAUGCUACUGCAGGUCACAAAUGUAGACAGAUUUGUAAAAUAUCAAGUCCAGGAGUUCGAGAGAAGUCUUGCCAUAAGAUUUCCUGCAUGCUCAGUUGCAGCAAACAAGCACAUAGGUUCAAGUACAACAAUUUUGGAUGUUGAAGGAUUGAAUUUAAUGAGUCUCACUGGCCCUGUUGUCGAAUUUAUUAAAGUGGUUCAGAAGGUUGAUAACGACAAUUAUCCUGAAACACUUUCGCGAAUGUUUAUUGUCAAUGCUGGUCCUGGCUUUCGGAUGAUAUGGAAUGUGGUCAAACCAUUACUUGAUCCUGAGACAACUUCGAAAAUCCAGGUUAUUGGCAGCAAUUAUCAGAGAAAGUUGCUUGAAGUAAUUGAUGAAAGUGAACUACCGAAUUUCUUUGGUGGUUGCUGUACCUGUGCAAUUGAAGGGGACUGCAUAAGGUCUGAUAAAGGACCAUGGAAUAACCAAAAUUUAUUGAAGAUGACUCCGGGUACAGAAGUGCAUCUUGUGCAGACAGCAUCAAUUUCAGAUAAUGAUGCAACUUAGUUGUCAUGGUUGAUAUUUUGUUGCGUCGUCGGAUGUAUCAUGCUGGGAAGUAUACAGUGACGAGCAACUGGAUGCACUGCGCUGGAAAAUCCGAGUGUCUUCCUGAUCACUUCGUUGCAAGAAAUGAACUAAGGCUGGUAGUGCAAUAUCAGCAUCCUCACUCUUGAUGAGCUCUCCAGUAACUUCAGCUGGCGUCGCCUCAACUUCCUCAAGCAGCUCUCCGAUCACCGGAAAGAACGAGUGGUCGUCAAUCCUCAGAUAGGUGGAAGCAAGUAUCUUGAAGCCACUGAAUGUGCAGUAAGACAUCUCCAAGUGCACAUCCAUUCGCCCCGGUCGGAGCAGCGCCGGAUCCAGCCUGUCCCUGUGAUUGGUGGUGAAGACUAUGCUCUUCUCAUCCCUACAACUCGACCACAGCCCAUCAAUGAAGUUCAGCAGCCCAGAUAAGAUGUGGCCUGAUUUGAUUUCUAAGAGCAAGGAAGGUGGAGUAGACGUUAUCGAAACAUAUGUAUUUUGGAAUGGUCAUGAGCCAGUAAGGGGACAGUAUGUGUUUGAAGGAAGAUAUGAUCUUGUGAAGUUUGUGAAGCAAGUGGCUGCCAAUGGACUUUAUUUUUUUCUCCGUAUAGGGCCUAAUGUAUGCGCGGAGUGGAAUUUCGAUUUGGGUUAUUCCCUCUUUGCUAAUUUUCCUUGAUGCAUGUAACUAUUUGCAUACUAAUCAUGACCAGCAACUAUUUAUCAAAAUUUUCAUUCACUAAUUUUGA
Molecule: RNA transcript, 1945 nt
Organism: Salvia splendens (bonfire salvia)
Lineage: Eukaryota; Viridiplantae; Streptophyta; Magnoliopsida; Lamiales; Lamiaceae
Gene name: phosphatidylinositol/phosphatidylcholine transfer protein SFH6-like
Exons: 13
Source: RefSeq, a predicted model, not a curated record